UAAGGAAUAUUGGUCAAUGGACGCAAGUCUGAACCAGCCAUGCCGCGUGAAGGAUGAAGGUCCUCUGGAUUGUAAACUUCUUUUAUAGGGGACGAAAAAAGGGAAUUCUUUCUCACUUGACGGUACCCUAGGAAUAAGCACCGGCUAACUCCGUGCCAGCAGCCGCGGUAAUACGGAGGGUGCAAGCGUUAUCCGGAUUUACUGGGUUUAAAGGGUGCGUAGGUGGGUCUGUAAGUCAGUGGUGAAAUCUCCGGGCUUAACUCGGAAACUGCCAUUGAUACUAUAGGUCUUGAAUACUCUGGAGGUAAGCGGAAUAUGUCAUGUAGCGGUGAAAUGCUUAGAUAUGACAUAGAACACCAAUUGCGAAGGCAGCUUACUACGGGGUCAUUGACACUGAGGCACGAAAGCGUGGGGAUCAAACAGGAUUAGAUACCCCCGUAGUCC
Molecule: ribosomal RNA, 444 nt
Filed under: uncultured bacterium
Lineage: Bacteria
Description: bacterial SSU rRNA
Rfam family: Bacterial small subunit ribosomal RNA
Source: RNAcentral